Molecule: ribosomal RNA, 497 nt
Filed under: uncultured bacterium
Lineage: Bacteria
Description: partial 16S ribosomal RNA
Rfam family: Bacterial small subunit ribosomal RNA
Source: RNAcentral
GAUGAACGCUGGCGGCGUGCCUAAUACAUGCAAGUCGAGCGAGCGGACGAGAAGCUUGCUUUUCUGAUGUUAGCGGCGGACGGGUGAGUAACACGUGGAUAACCUACCUAUAAGACUGGGAUAACUUCGGGAAACCGGAGCUAAUACCGGAUAAUAUUUUGAACCGCAUGGUUCAAAAGUGAAAGACGGUCUUGCUGUCACUUAUAGAUGGAUCCGCGCUGCAUUAGCUAGUUGGUAAGGUAACGGCUUACCAAGGCAACGAUGCAUAGCCGACCUGAGAGGGUGAUCGGCCACACUGGAACUGAGACACGGUCCAGACUCCUACGGGAGGCAGCAGUAGGGAAUCUUCCGCAAUGGGCGAAAGCCUGACGGAGCAACGCCGCGUGAGUGAUGAAGGUCUUCGGAUCGUAAAACUCUGUUAUUAGGGAAGAACAUAUGUGUAAGUAACUGUGCACAUCUUGACGGUACCUAUUCAGAAAGCCACGGCUAACUACGUG